Candidatus Rokubacteria bacterium 13_1_40CM_2_68_8 is the source of this 74-nucleotide non-coding RNA. The record is from Rfam. NCBI's taxonomy places the organism in Bacteria, Candidatus Rokuibacteriota.
CGGGGCGUAGCGCAGUCCGGUAGCGCGUCUGGUUUGGGACCAGAAGGUCCCGGGUUCAAAUCCCGGCGCCCCGA